AGGUUUCCAAAUGUGGAAUUACUAGACCAAAAGGCACUGCUCGCCUUGGUUCAUUUUUCCUCUCCAUGGUCCACACAUUUUUUCAAAUCCUACAAGAUAAGAGGACCCAGACAUAGCCAGCGAUCCAGGCAGAGCACUUAGAAUUGUACUAUUAACAUUAUUCAGCAUUUGGUUCAUCUCUGCAAAUGCAUUUCAGAUCUGCAUGAUUCCAGCUCCUCGAGCUCCAUUACAAAGGCACAGCCCAUCAAAGCAACUUGCCAGAAAAGCCUCUAGCACCCUUAAUGUAAAAACCAACCCACACCCUGCAGGUGAAAUAGUGCAGGCGGCACAAAAUAAAAAUAAAAACAUAAAAACGAUUUUUGAGAUUAUUUUUUCCACAAGGGAAAGCAAUUCUCUGUGAAUUGACUUAUGGGCCAUGACAUAGAACCCCAAAAUGAAAGAAAGAACGGGAACAGGAGGAAGGAAGACAACCCGCACUCCAGGCAUGGACAGGUGUCCUGUUCGCUCUCCUGUCUCCUGAACCCUCUUCAGAGUCUCCGCCACAAGGAAGGCAGCCUGACCUGCAGUCCCAUGUAGAGUAACAUGGAGACUGGAGAUCUCUCCUACAAGGUUUCACCCCCUAACUUCUCUGAAGAUCCUCUCAGAACAAGAAAAUUUUUUCCCACAGGAGAAUUGGAGAGUCUAUGAGUUCAUGCUCGAAGUGAAUUUCCUAAUUUCCUCUCUGAGCAAAUACCAGGGUAUUUAUUUCUCUUACGUAAUUUCCAGGGAGUCCGCUCUGUGACCCGACUUCUAUUCUGUUGGUCUACUGAGGGACCUUACCGUCAAACGGUCACCCGUGGUGAGAACGUACCCAAGGACUGAUAUAUGACUGCAAAGGAACUUAACAAUUCCUGGAAGGAAAAGGGUUAAGAGCCAGUAAAAACAGCAUAAAUUUACACAUGACCUAGUAUGAUUACACUUUUAUUCUCUUCCUUGCAAGGAACAACAAUGGCGACAUCCAUAAGUAAUGCUUCUGGUCUAAAAACCUUCUCACCAACCUUCUGGUUCGAAGGGAUCUCUAGGCAGAGAGAUGUAUUUGCUGCUGAUUUUUCUUUCAGAAGGUUCUAAAAGGUUCAUUACAUCAUGGAAAAAUAAUCUCCACUAUUGGGAGCAGGGAGCAGCCUUGGGUGAUUGGUUUGUGACGGUCUGAUUCUGGCUGACAAGUUCUAGAAUUACAGCUAUUUUGUCCCCAUCUUAACCUUACUGUGAGGAGGGGAGAUGGCUUCAACAGACAAAGGAACUUGACUUCAGAAAGAAUUAUGAGCAGAAAAUAAAAACAAAAACAAAAAAAACCCGAAAAGGGUCCUGGAGAAAAAUAGGGGACAUGCAUUUGUUUUCUCUUAUAGAUGAGAUCAAAUUCUCCAAAGAGUGAAUGAGCCAGACGCUGCAGUCCUCCAGGUCCUCAUCCUGCAGUGGAGGCUUCCCUAUGGGAACAAACUAGUUGCACACUGAGCACUCUGUAGGGGGUCCAGUUUGGGGCAGUGACGGGUGCGGAUGGAGAGAUAGAAAGUGGCAGGAGCUAGAAGGCAGCCCUCUGCCUACCUCCCAGCCCCAACCCCCACCCCACCGCUCUGAUCCCUUAACUCCCUCCCAGCAGGCCCCUUUCCUUUUUUCCCUUUCUUCUCUAGGAAUUUUCCAUCAGCUAGAGAACAAGGACAUCAGUAGUCACACUAAUGGGAAAAGUUGCAUGUUUUGUCUUUGGCCCUGGCAGCAUCUGGGCAGCCAUGUGCUCGCCUAAGAAGCCCAAUGACGAUGAGUGGUGCAUGGCUGCCCCCGGGGCCCUGUCCUACCAAUGUCACUCUCUUCUCUUCCUCCCCUCUCCUCCUCCUUCCUUGUGGCUCCUUCCCUAAUGUCUCAAGGAAAACCUUUAUGAUGCUUCCUGGCAACGGAGCUCAAUGGCUGGUCUAGAUCAGGAUGGUACCUGGAAGAGGUGGUCUUGGGAACUUUUCAAUAGUUAACUCAUAACUCCAUAAUGAAGGACUCAAUUGAAAUGAAAAAGGUAGCAACCCACAGGGGGGGAAAAAAAAGACAUUUUGAGAUAGUGUCAUUCGGAGACUUUCUUCCUUUAAAUACAAUUUAAAAAGACCUUAAUUCCUUGUGUAGAAUUUUAUUUUAAAGUCCCCUUUAGUUUGUUCAUGGAAACGAUUUAAGAUUGAGGAUUUUGAUGGGAGAGUAUCGACAUCAAGAAAAGGAACCAGAGCCAAAAUCGUGAUUUAUAUGCAAAUGUCCCUGUAUUAUAAGACUCUUAGAAAAUGAAAACUUUUUCCUGAAAUCCAGACCUUUCUUUUUAAACCCAGGAUGUCACCCUUUCCCCUGUUCUGGAACAGGGUGGGAUCUGCAACGCUGUAGCCCAUGGGCCAAAAUCUGGCUCACCGUCUAUACAGCUCCUGAGCUAAGAAGGGUUUACAGUUCUUAACUGUAGGUGGAAAAAAAAUUUUUUGAAAGAAUAAUGUUUUGUGACACUAGACUAUUUUAUAAAAUUCAAAUUUCUAUCUUCAUUAGUAAAUUUGUAACUGGAACGUAGCCACUCUUGGAACGUAGCCACUCAUCGUGUAUGACUGCUGCUUCUGUGAUCUAACAGCUAAGUUGAGUAGAAGAGACAGAGCCCCUGUGUGGCCCACAAACCCUGGGAUACUGACCUUCUGGCCCCUUAUGGACAAAGUUUGCUGAACACCGGUCCAGAAUACUGCUACGGGCAUUAGGCCAAAUUGAGCAUAAAGGGUAGGAAAGCUAUUCCUCAGCUCUAGUAACUAGCAGCUGAAUACAUUUAAUGGUAGGAUUUAUUGAACUGCUGGUGCCUCCUUGUUAAAGUGGAGAGAAAAUGCUCAUAAACUUACUUUUAGGAAUAACCAUAUAUGGAGUAUAAAAUACGUAUUCAAACAAUAAAUAUUUUCUGUUCAAACUAAUUAUAGCUGGCAUUAUUUUUGAUCAAGUUCACGUCCAUGUCAAAAUUCAGUACCUUCCACGAAGCCUCCUAAAAUAAAACUAAGGUUACUGUUAAUAUUAGUCCUUAAAUCAGUGAACAUCAAAACUGAUUCUGUGAGGACUGGAUUUUUGCAAAUCUGUAGCUAGUCUGUUUCAGGCUUGUAGAUCUACAGCAGACCUGAGAGUCUGUGAAACUAUCAAACACAUUUUUCCCGUUGAGCUGCGUCAACUCAAGGUACCGUGCAUUUGAUCUCAUUAGCAAUCGUUAAGUGUUGCAUGUAAGAGGAUUUAGUGAUUGAAAAAUAUAAAGAAAAAAUAAAUAAUAGAAGAAAAUGGAUUAUUUUGCAAAAAAGAAAUUGUGUCCUGAAAAAAUGUUUAAGGGCUUUGAAUUUUGAAUGCAAAUUAUAUCAUAUGAUUCCAUUUCUUUGAGAAAAGAAAAAUCUUUAUAUUUAAACUAGUUUCCAAAUCUGAACCUCUUUCUAUGUUUGUCUUCAGUGCUAGGAUUAGGGUGUGGUAAAGAAGGCAUUACACACCUCAAGUAUGAACUUCAAGAGGCACAAAACAACAAUAACAGCAACAACCCAGUAAUCAAGACAAGUAAGAGUUUAAUGCAUAACUUUUGAAAAAUAAGAAUGCAAAAUAACCCAUGAUGAACAAUAUAGGUCAAAAUUGCUAUAUAUAUUCAGAUUUGUUGAAAUUGCCUGCAAUAGUGGCCAAAAUAUUAAUAUAUAAAAAAAUACAAACCUAUUUCUCUUUCGUGUUAAAAAACAUCUGGAGACGGGCCUUCAAAAUGAUAUUCUGGGGACCCCAAUGUAGUAGAUGUGAUUAUAGUUUAUUUUUUUCCUUAUGCUUGUGCAUUGGCAUUUUCUCAUUUUUCUCGAAAUAUUUAUUAUUUCUUGACAAAGAACAAUGCCUAAAACACUGUAUCAUUUUAAGACUAAAAGGAAGAUGCCAUUCCUUUCUUAUUAAAAGUUUGUCUACUUGAUUAAGACCAAGAUGGCACAUUGAUCCUUCAUUUGCUGAGGUGAUUACAAGUAAAUGCUCUCCUGGUGCACACAGAUUUGCAAUCAUAUUUCCAAACUCAUUAGGGGAAGCCUGUUAUAUCUGUCUAGAAACACAACUAAAUCAUUCAUAUAAUAUUUUGUCCUUUAGCUGUUAAGUGAAUGCAGAAAUAGUUCUAAACCAGUAUAAGUUCACUGGUGAGGCUAGGGGAAAUUUCUUCCCUGGAUUUAACAGAAAAAAAAAAUGAAA
Mustela lutreola (European mink) is the source of this 4215-nucleotide long non-coding RNA. RefSeq lists it as uncharacterized. The record is from RefSeq and is a predicted model, not a curated record. Lineage: Eukaryota; Metazoa; Chordata; Mammalia; Carnivora; Mustelidae. The transcript has 2 exons.